UAGUCCACGCCGUAAACGAUGGAUACUAGCUGUUCGACUUCGGUUGAGUGGCUAAGCGAAAGUGAUAAGUAUCCCACCUGGGGAGUACGUUCGCAAGAAUGAAACUCAAAGGAAUUGACGGGGGCCCGCACAAGCGGUGGAGCAUGUGGUUUAAUUCGAUGAUACGCGAGGAACCUUACCAGGGCUUAAAUGUAGAUUGCAUUAGGUGGAGACACUUAUUUCUUCGGACUAUCUACAAGGUGCUGCAUGGUUGUCGUCAGCUCGUGCCGUGAGGUGUCAGGUUAAGUCCUACAACGAGCGCAACCCCUGUUGUUAGUUGCCAGCGAGUAAUGUCGGGAACUCUAACAAGACUGCCAGUGCAAACUGUGAGGAAGGUGGGGAUGACGUCAAAUCAUCACGGCCCUUACGUCCUGGGCUACACACGUGCUACAAUGGUAGGGACAGAGAGCAGCCACUGGGCGACCAGGAGCGAAUCUUCAAACCCUAUCACAGUUCGGAUCGG
Molecule: ribosomal RNA, 502 nt
Filed under: uncultured bacterium
Lineage: Bacteria
Description: bacterial SSU rRNA
Rfam family: Bacterial small subunit ribosomal RNA
Source: RNAcentral